This 253-nucleotide ribosomal RNA is filed under the name uncultured bacterium. Its description in RNAcentral is "partial 16S ribosomal RNA". It matches the Rfam family "Bacterial small subunit ribosomal RNA", at positions 524 to 776 of the family's 1533-position model. The record is from RNAcentral.
GACAGAGGGGGCAAGCGUUAUUCGGAAUUAUUGGGCGUAAAGGGCGCGUAGGCGGCUUGGCAAGUGGAAGGUGAAAUCCCUCGGCUUAACCGAGGAACUGCCCACCAAACUGCUUUGCUUGAGGCCGGGAGAGGCGAGUGGAAUUCCCAGUGUAGCGGUGAAAUGCGUAGAUAUUGGGAGGAACACCAGUGGCGAAGGCGGCUCACUGGGCCGGUAUUGACGCUGAGGCGCGAAAGCCAGGGGAGCAAACGGG